Molecule: ribosomal RNA, 333 nt
Filed under: Ehrlichia chaffeensis
Lineage: Bacteria; Pseudomonadati; Pseudomonadota; Alphaproteobacteria; Rickettsiales; Anaplasmataceae
Description: bacterial SSU rRNA
Rfam family: Bacterial small subunit ribosomal RNA
Source: RNAcentral
AAUUGUUAGUGGCAGACGGGUGAGUAAUGCGUAGGAAUCUACCUAGUAGUAUGGAAUAGCCAUUAGAAAUGAUGGGUAAUACUGUAUAAUCCCUGCGGGGGAAAGAUUUAUCGCUAUUAGAUGAGCCUACGUUAGAUUAGCUAGUUGGUAAGGUAAUGGCUUACCAAGGCUAUGAUCUAUAGCUGGUCUGAGAGGACGAUCAGCCACACUGGAACUGAGAUACGGUCCAGACUCCUACGGGAGGCAGCAGUGGGGAAUAUUGGACAAUGGGCGAAAGCCUGAUCCAGCUAUGCCGCGUGAGUGAAGAAGGCCUUCGGGUUGUAAAACUCUUUC